Molecule: ribosomal RNA, 403 nt
Filed under: Marinobacter sp. NB-1
Lineage: Bacteria; Pseudomonadati; Pseudomonadota; Gammaproteobacteria; Pseudomonadales; Marinobacteraceae
Description: bacterial SSU rRNA
Rfam family: Bacterial small subunit ribosomal RNA
Source: RNAcentral
GACAAUGGGGGCAACCCUGAUCCAGCCAUGCCGCGUGUGUGAAGAAGGCUUUCGGGUUGUAAAGCACUUUCAGUGAGGAGGAAAACUCUGCGACUAAUACUCGUAGGGCUUGACGUUACUCACAGAAGAAGCACCGGCUAACUCCGUGCCAGCAGCCGCGGUAAUACGGAGGGUGCAAGCGUUAAUCGGAAUUACUGGGCGUAAAGCGCGCGUAGGUGGUUUGAUAAGCGAGAUGUGAAAGCCCCGGGCUUAACCUGGGAACGGCAUUUCGAACUGUCAGGCUAGAGUAUGGUAGAGGGUAGUGGAAUUUCCUGUGUAGCGGUGAAAUGCGUAGAUAUAGGAAGGAACACCAGUGGCGAAGGCGGCUACCUGGACCAAUACUGACACUGAGGUGCGAAAGCGU